Molecule: transfer RNA, 73 nt
Filed under: Stegodyphus mimosarum
Lineage: Eukaryota; Metazoa; Arthropoda; Arachnida; Araneae; Eresidae
Rfam family: tRNA
About the family: Transfer RNA (tRNA) molecules are approximately 80 nucleotides in length.
Source: Rfam by way of RNAcentral
GCCUUCGUGAUGUAGUGGUCGGCACGCUCGGCCCCUACUCGAGAGGUCCGUGGUUCGACUCCCGGCGAUGGCA